RNAcentral lists this long non-coding RNA (290 nucleotides) under Marmota monax (woodchuck). Lineage: Eukaryota; Metazoa; Chordata; Mammalia; Rodentia; Sciuridae. The record is from RNAcentral.
CAAUUUAUCCCAGAGCACUUUUGGAGAAAUCAAGGAAAUAUGCAUGUACUGAAACACUUCCCCCAAUUAUUUGCUCAGAUUUCUUUGAUACUGUGCAGGAUUCAUCUGUUAGCUAGCCCCACUAGGCUCCCUUAGUUUGGGACUUCUAUGAUCAAAGGUUCUCUAAACAGGCUAGGGUGAGCUGUAGGAUUAGGAUUAAGGAUAGAUCUAGUGUUAGGUUCACAGUAGUUUUGUUCAAAUUUCUUUGAUACUAGGCAUGAUUUAUCUUUUACCUAGGCUUACAAUGUUCC